RNAcentral lists this ribosomal RNA (97 nucleotides) under Escherichia coli 2-177-06_S1_C1. The record is from RNAcentral. RNAcentral also lists the same sequence under 1 other name. Lineage: Bacteria; Pseudomonadati; Pseudomonadota; Gammaproteobacteria; Enterobacterales; Enterobacteriaceae.
GGCGGCAGUAGCGCGGUGGUCCCACCUGACCCCAUGCCGAACUCAGAAGUGAAACGCCGUAGCGCCGAUGGUAGUGUGGGGUCUCCCCAUGCGAGAG